GUAGGUGGCAAGCGUUGUCCGGAAUUAUUGGGCGUAAAGCGCGCGCAGGCGGUUCUCUAAGUCUGAUGUGAAAGCCCACGGCUCAACCGUGGAGGGUCAUUGGAAACUGGAGAACUUGAGUACAGAAGAGGAAAGCGGAAUUCCACGUGUAGCGGUGAAAUGCGUAGAGAUGUGGAGGAACACCAGUGGCGAAGGCGGCUCUCUGGUCUGUAACUGACGCUGAGGCGCGAAAGCGUGGGGGGAGCAAACAGGAUUAGAUACCCUGGUAGUCCACGCCGUAAACGAUGAGUGCUAAGUGUUAGGGGGUUUCCGCCCCCCCCUUAGUGCUGCAGCUAACGCAUUAAGCACUCCGCCUGGGGAGUACGGCCGCAAGGCUG
This 377-nucleotide ribosomal RNA is filed under the name uncultured organism. RNAcentral describes it as "partial 16S ribosomal RNA". It matches the Rfam family "Bacterial small subunit ribosomal RNA", at positions 527 to 896 of the family's 1533-position model. The record is from RNAcentral.